RNAcentral lists this unclassified non-coding RNA (144 nucleotides) under uncultured Teratosphaeriaceae. Its description in RNAcentral is "sequence contains ITS2". The record is from RNAcentral. Lineage: Eukaryota; Fungi; Ascomycota; Dothideomycetes; Mycosphaerellales; Teratosphaeriaceae.
ACACCCAUCAAGCCUGGCUUGGUCUUGGGCGGCGGGACCUCCCCGCGCCCCGAUUUCGCCGGCUGGACGACCCUGAUCUCAAGCGUUGAGGUAACAAUCUCGCGAGGGGACGGGCGGCCACGCCGUUAAACCUUUAAAUCAAAG